GUGGGGAAUCUUCCGCAAUGGACGAAAGUCUGACGGAGCAACGCCGCGUGAGUGAUGACGGCCUUCGGGUUGUAAAGCUCUGUGAUCGGGGACGAAUGGCUGGUAUGCUAAUACCAUAUCAGAGUGACGGUACCCGAAUAGCAAGCCACGGCUAACUACGUGCCAGCAGCCGCGGUAAUACGUAGGUGGCAAGCGUUGUCCGGAAUUAUUGGGCGUAAAGCGCGCGCAGGCGGCUUCUUAAGUCCAUCUUAAAAGUGCGGGGCUUAACCCCGUGAUGGGAUGGAAACUGGGAGGCUGGAGUAUCGGAGAGGAAAGUGGAAUUCCUAGUGUAGCGGUGAAAUGCGUAGAGAUUAGGAAGAACACCGGUGGCGAAGGCGACUUUCUGGACGACAACUGACGCUGAGGCACGAAAGCGUGGGGAGCAAACAGGAUUAGAUACCCUUGUAGUCC
Molecule: ribosomal RNA, 450 nt
Filed under: uncultured bacterium
Lineage: Bacteria
Description: partial 16S ribosomal RNA
Rfam family: Bacterial small subunit ribosomal RNA
Source: RNAcentral